This 369-nucleotide transfer-messenger RNA is filed under the name Mucilaginibacter tolerans. Its description in RNAcentral is "Mucilaginibacter sp. BT774 transfer-messenger RNA". It matches the Rfam family "transfer-messenger RNA". Rfam says of the family: Bacterial tmRNA, also known as 10Sa RNA or SsrA, is named for its dual tRNA and mRNA-like properties. Its role is to liberate the mRNA from a stalled ribosome. To accomplish this part of the tmRNA is used as a reading frame that ends in a translation stop signal. The record is from RNAcentral. Lineage: Bacteria; Pseudomonadati; Bacteroidota; Sphingobacteriia; Sphingobacteriales; Sphingobacteriaceae.
GGGGUCGACCGGAAUUGACAGGAUGGAGAUAAGUAGGUAAGCAUGCAGCGCGUUGGGUGAAUUAGCGCUUUAAUCAGAACGCUCAAACUUACAAAUGGCGAAAAUAACUACGCCUUGGCUGCCUAAUUUAGAAUUAGAAUAGCCUUUGUCCCGCCGGUGUUCCGUUUCAUUGGACCGGCAACCGGGGCAUCGAAAAAUGAAACUGGCCUGCUUAGGGUGUGAUAAGCGGGCGAGAUAAAGCACCUACGGAAGACGGUACAGGUAAGCGGCUGACCUUCCCCUUCCCGACAAACUAACAGCAGCUAAGCAUGUAGAAAGCUUACCUUAUACCAUGUUUGGACGAGGGUUCGAAUCCCUCCGGCUCCACUU